UUUGUGAUUUCUCUACAUAAUAAGAUCAUGUUAUUUACAAAUGGGUGAUUUUACUUCUUCCUUCCUGAUUUGGAAGAUUUUUAUUUCUUUUUCUUGCCUGAUUGCUGUGGUAAGACUUCCAAUACUAUGUUGAAUAGAAGUGGUGAGAGUGAACACCCUUGUCUUGCUCCUGAUCUUAUAGGAAAAGCUUUCAGCUUUGACUACUGAAUGCAAUAUUUGCUGUGGACUUGUCAUAAAUGGCCUUUAUUAUGUUGAAGUAAAUUCCUUUUAUACCAAAUUUAUUGGGAGUUUUGAAUUUUAAGUUCUUUUGCAUCUAAGUCCUCCAAGUCCUUGAGUAAGUGCUCAAAUGUGGCCUGGGUAAGAAAACACUGACAUCAGCAGCCAAGGUGACCUUGUGUUGUGCUUUUAUUCUGUGAAUGACCUGGCACUAAAUGCUGUCCCUCCAUAAUUCUUCCCAACCCCAUUGGAGAAGACUCUGGGGCCAGAUUCUCCCUCCUUGUUCCAAGGUCCCUAGGUGACUCCCUGGGAGUGGCCCAGGUGUCUGUCUCUGCCUGGCUUGUCCAUGCCCUGAUAGAGGGUAAAGCCAGGGCCAGAGCUGCUGAUGUGGUUGGGGAAGUGGGAAAGAACUGAAGGCAGCCCAGAGUGGUGAUUCCACUUGUUUGCAAGAUCGUGGCUCAUUGCUCCAUCCACCAUCCCAUGGAUCUGCUGCCUCUUCUGUUCCUGGAUGCUGUUACUGCUUUCAGGCUUCCAGUGUGCACCAGCACAGCCACCAGACUGGGAAGAAACAUGCCCCAGGGAGGUGAUGUCGCUGAUAUCCACUAGUGCUCAGCACGUGGCUUCCUCUUGUCCUCAGCACAGUUUUGGACACAGACAUGGACACUCCCAUUUUACUGAAGGAAACCAGCCCAGGCUCACACAGCUGCCUAUCCAUAUUUUGCCUGACCAUUUCCCUCUUGGCUGUGAUGUGUUUGAAAUUCACUGGAAACAUAGCAUUAUUACCGCUUCCAUGGGAACUUAUGCUUGUCUAAUUUACCUCCAGUGAACUGUUUUUGUGCCAUCUCCCCCUUCCUUUCUGAUUUGAAAACCUUUGCUGUUGGUGAUGUGGGAAAAAUCAUAGGACCUGAUUUGACAGAAUUGUUUGUCAGUUCAGGAAAUAGCCAACUGCAGGAGACAUUUCUCUGGUGUUUCUGGUACAGUCAAGUAUAUGAAGAUCAAAUUUCUGAGAAGAUUAAGUACUACAUGAAGGAAAAUGAAAAAUGUGCAGAAAAAAAUACCAUUUGUGAAGAGCAGGUUCACCUCUCCCUUAAUGAAGUUGAUACCAGCGAAGUGAAAUUGAAGUCUGAAAAACAGCCUCUGCAGAAAGAAAAUGCUCAGCUCAAGACCCAAAAGAAUCAGGCAGAAAAUGGGAGCUGGGGGACAACUGUGAUGCACUUAGGUUGUGAAAGGGGCAAAGGACGCCAAAUGGGACACACCGAGGAAGAAUGUAGACGUUCAUGAUGGAAUGUGUGGACAAAGACAGAAGCUCACAGAAAAGAGACAAUAUUCUGAAGAAAGCUGGGACUGAAAGAAUGGGAGCAGGUGGAAGGGGAGAAGCAGCUGUCAGCCACAGAGGAGAAAGUCAAAUUAGCUGCAGAAGAGCUUCAGAACUACAAGUGAGUUCAGCUCCUACCACCAUUUCAUGUGAUGGCCAUUGUAUUACUUUGAAACUUUGUACAGUGUUUAGAGCCAAGUAGCACACAAAUAUACACAUUCAAGAGACUUUCAUUUAUAUAGAGACUUCAAGAGAGAUGUGACAUUUUCCAGAUGUUAAGUUAAAAAUAUUAAUCUAAAUAGGUUAAAGUAACUAAAGAUUUCCUGAUCCUCAUUGCUGGCCAGACUAUUUGGAAAUGUGGUUCCUGAACAUGUUUCUGGAGGUGCUGGAAAUGAUUACAAACCUCAGGGAGCAGUUAGUUUGAGGAUGAAUCACAUCGACAAGUAUGACCAUCCCAUUUUAGAUACCCACUUGUUGUAAUCAUGAGAAAUAUGAUAAGGAUACAAGGAAAAGAAGAUUUGAGCUUUACAAUUAAAUAUCCUCAUUGCAGAAUUAGGGAGCUGUCCCCACAGGUAAGGAGACCAUGUCAACGUGGAGCCCUACAGGCAUUAAAUAAUAAAUCCAAGAUGAUGUAGUGAUGGCUUUGAGCUUUCUGUACUCUCCUCCUCAUGUGAAAUGUGUCUUCUAUGAUUGGGUCAUGUGUAUGAGAAUUCAGUUCUUAUAAUGGGAACCUGGGCCAAUUAACAUCACCCUCCACAUGGUGCUUCAUCUGAUGAAAGCCAUUGCAUGUCCAGGAGAACACUGGAAGAAACACCAGAACAGCUGCAGCAGUCAGAGCUCACCUUCGGGCACCAGGUAGCCUGCACUCUGCCUAGUAGUUCCUGAGUGCUUCAGCACAUAACACAGAUGAUCAUAAAGGGGAACUGAAUCUCUCCACAUGGGUUUUAUUGCUGACUGUUUCAGAUUGCUCUUUGUGAGAAGGCACUUCAAGACAACUGGGUAAGAAUGUUUUUCUCUCCUCCUCUUGUGCACACCCUGCCACAGAUAAAUGUGGAUGUAUUUCUCUCUGGAGCUCAGGGCUCAUGAUCUGGAGAGGGCAGUGGCAGAGCAGAGCAGGGAGGUUGCCUACUUGAAAUGCAGGUACAGGAUUUUGACAUAUUUCUUUUAAGGGCGCUGUGAGGUUUUUAAAAAGGCUAAACCCUUUGGUGUCCAAUGGAGGCCUGGGUGUGGUAACUCUUAGUGAAACUGAUUCAUCUCGAUGUUCAAGACUGGAAGUCAUCCAAAAACAGAGGCUUCCAGAGGAAUUCAGGAGGCACAAACGAAUGGCAAGAGGACCUGACAGGGAGAUCCCUCCAUGGAGAGGUACAGAGCACAUUGUGAAAUGCAGUAGCUUAACUUCUGUGAUAACAUCUGCACAAAUGGCUUCUUGUUCCAGUGGGUGUCAUUGGCUUGGUCUCAUGCAAACAGUCCCAGGUGGUUACUAGAGGGCACAGGUUGUCUCACAGUGGUGACAGGACACUGGUUCCCUCAGAUGCCCCGGCCAGCAGGGCUCAUUGGGUCUGUCCCUUGUGAGUGGUGGAGCUCACACCCCUUCACUGACCGUGGGCCCCCCUGAAACCUCCCGGUUACAAUUAACUGGAGAGUGGGUACUAGAAUGAUCAUGGGUCAGCACCCCUUCCACCUUGAGACAAUGUUGAAGGCUGUUUCUUUUGUUUCACAUGAAUAAUGUGAACAACAGCAUGAAUUGGAGGCUGUAUGUCCUGAUGAGCUUUCUUGAAUUGGCCUUUGGAUAAAUGCUCAUAGAAAAUACACUUUGAUUAAAGAAAGCAGACAUUU
Long non-coding RNA from Herpailurus yagouaroundi (jaguarundi), 3367 nucleotides. RefSeq lists it as uncharacterized. Lineage: Eukaryota; Metazoa; Chordata; Mammalia; Carnivora; Felidae. The transcript has 10 exons. The record is from RefSeq and is a predicted model, not a curated record.